ACUCCUACGGGAGGCAGCAGUGGGGAAUAUUGCACAAUGGGGAAACCCUGAUGCAGCCAUGCCGCGUGUGUGAAGAAGGCCUUCGGUUGUAAAGCACUUUCAGUAGGGAGGAAGGUAGUGUAGUUAACACCUGCACUAUUUGACGUUACCUACAGAAGAAGCACCGGCUAACUCCGUGCCAGCAGCCGCGGUAAUACGGAGGGGUGCGAGCGUUAAUCGGAAUUACUGGGCGUAAAGCGCAUGCAGGCGGCCUGUUAAGUCAGAUGUGAAAGCCCGGGGGCUUAACCUCGGAAUUGCAUUUGAAACUGGCAGGCUAGAGUCUUGUAGAGGGGGUAGGAAUUUCAGGUGUAGCGGUGAAAUGCGUAGAGAUCUGAAGGAAUACCAGUGGCGAAGGCGGCCCCCUGGACAAAGACUGACGCUCAGAUGCGAAAGCGUGGGGAGGCAAACAGGAUUAGAUACCCUGGUAGCACAGAG
Molecule: ribosomal RNA, 474 nt
Filed under: uncultured bacterium
Lineage: Bacteria
Description: bacterial SSU rRNA
Rfam family: Bacterial small subunit ribosomal RNA
Source: RNAcentral